AGAGGAUGACCAGCCACACUGGAACUGAGACACGGUCCAGACUCCUACGGGAGGCAGCAGUGGGGAAUAUUGCACAAUGGGCGCAAGCCUGAUGCAGCCAUGCCGCGUGUAUGAAGAAGGCCUUCGGGUUGUAAAGUACUUUCAGCGGGGAGGAAGGGAGUAAAGUUAAUACCUUUGCUCAUUGACGUUACCCGCAGAAGAAGCACCGGCUAACUCCGUGCCAGCAGCCGCGGUAAUACGGAGGGUGCAAGCGUUAAUCGGAAUUACUGGGCGUAAAGCGCACGCAGGCGGUUUGUUAAGUCAGAUGUGAAAUCCCCGGGCUCAACCUGGGAACUGCAUCUGAUACUGGCAAGCUUGAGUCUCGUAGAGGGGGGUAGAAUUC
RNAcentral lists this ribosomal RNA (382 nucleotides) under Shigella flexneri. Its description in RNAcentral is "bacterial SSU rRNA". It matches the Rfam family "Bacterial small subunit ribosomal RNA", at positions 295 to 669 of the family's 1533-position model. The record is from RNAcentral. Lineage: Bacteria; Pseudomonadati; Pseudomonadota; Gammaproteobacteria; Enterobacterales; Enterobacteriaceae.